Molecule: long non-coding RNA, 1021 nt
Filed under: Prunus persica (peach)
Lineage: Eukaryota; Viridiplantae; Streptophyta; Magnoliopsida; Rosales; Rosaceae
Description: long non-coding RNA (PPER_LNC002234)
Source: RNAcentral
AAAAGAUCUCCUAUAAUGUAAAGUAGAAGGGAUUUUUAUCAAUCAUGGCAGAUAGGCUCUCAGUAGUCACCUCCUAAAGCAGUCCCUUCCCUGGUUUCCUGGGUGGCAGCUUUCUAUUUCGACCACCGCCAUCGUCUGUGUGGGCUAAAUUUUAUGGCGGUUGGUUUUCUUUUGUAUUUUCUGAACAACUCAUUGUUUCCCGUUCUAACUUAGAAAGCGUGACCCGUGAAUUCUUUGGAAGAUGGUAUAUUGCUUUGGAGUAAAAUCUCCGAAUACAGAUGGGUUUUGAUCUUCUGUUGGUAGUGUUUCAGAGAUUUCCCUCUCAUAUUUUAACUUAGUUGGAAUUGCUGACUUUUCAAAGCUAAGGUAGCCACGUGGGUGUGUUUUUUUUUUUUUUUAGUCCCUUGGGGUUGAACCCAACAAAAUUAUGGGCUGAUCCUUGAAGCCCAAAUGACAGUCUUCACGUUAGUCUUUCUUGGGCUGGGGGCUUUGUUUUCAACAUCCUGGCGUGAAGCCCAACCUGUCUGGAUCCUAAUCUUGUUUAUCCUCAAGUUUUUGGGCUGGGCAGGUAAUUUUACCAUGGGCCUGUCUUUUGAUUUUUGGCGUGCUGAAUUUAGGCCCGAACAAUGCCCCCUAAGUCUGAAUCGUUUUGGAACGGUUUUAAUGUUUUUGCCAUUAAUUCGCGCGCCAAUCUUUUCCUUUUUUAGCCCACGUCUGCCACGUCCGCCUACUAUGAACUAGAGUUCGUGGGAAAAUGGCUAGUUAUUAGCUAGUUUACUAGCUAAUAAUCAUCAGGUGCCGUUCCAUCUUCUUCUUCCCACGUUUUUGAGCUUCUCUUUUAAAAGGAUUUCAAAUCCACCGCUUCUGAAAACCUAGCCCUUCCGACUCCGUUCUUCCGAGCUUUUCUUCGGGAUUUCCAUUGUUUCCUUCGGACCUCCCUUUUCUUUCACUCUCUCUCUGUUUCUUCCCUCGACUCAGAAAUGUCUUCCCCAAGGUCUCGUGCUCAGUCUUCUUCAGCUCC